Molecule: ribosomal RNA, 248 nt
Filed under: uncultured bacterium
Lineage: Bacteria
Description: partial 16S ribosomal RNA
Rfam family: Bacterial small subunit ribosomal RNA
Source: RNAcentral
AGGGGGCUAGCGUUGCUCGGAAUGACUGGGCGUAAAGGGCGCGUAGGCGGCUCAUCCAGUCAGGCGUGAAAUUCCUGGGCUCAACCUGGGGACUGCGCUUGAGACGUGUGGGCUUGAGUGGGGAAGAGGGUCGUGGAAUUCCCAGUGUAGAGGUGAAAUUCGUAGAUAUUGGGAAGAACACCGGUGGCGAAGGCGGCGACCUGGUCCUUGACUGACGCUGAGGCGCGAAAGCGUGGGGAGCAAACAGG